GGUAAGAUGGCUGAGUUUAGGCGGUGGAUUGUAAAUCCAUUUAGAAAGGUUAGUACCUUUUCAUACCA
RNAcentral lists this transfer RNA (68 nucleotides) under Chimaera phantasma (silver chimaera). RNAcentral's name for it is "tRNA-Tyr". It matches the Rfam family "tRNA". From Rfam's summary of the family: Transfer RNA (tRNA) molecules are approximately 80 nucleotides in length. Their secondary structure includes four short double-helical elements and three loops (D, anti-codon, and T loops). Further hydrogen bonds mediate the characteristic L-shaped molecular structure. tRNAs have two regions of fundamental functional importance: the anti-codon, which is responsible for specific mRNA codon recognition, and the 3' end, to which the tRNAs corresponding amino acid is attached (by aminoacyl-tRNA synthetases). tRNAs cope with the degeneracy of the genetic code in two manners: having more than one tRNA (with a specific anti-codon) for a particular amino acid; and 'wobble' base-pairing, i.e. permitting non-standard base-pairing at the 3rd anti-codon position. Lineage: Eukaryota; Metazoa; Chordata; Chondrichthyes; Chimaeriformes; Chimaeridae. The record is from RNAcentral.